CGCGGAAGUUACGUUCCUGAUAGUUUUCCUCUCGUUCCCUGUCGAUAAUUAAUCUUAGCUACUCUACAACUUUCAAAGGUGCUAGGAGCAUGCUAAUUAGCACAGGUGGUCCUUCUGUCUUCUGCAAACACGUGCAGUAACAUGGAGAUAUUGCUGUGUGGGAACCCUAAGCCUAGAAAGAUCCACCUACCACAUGGGCCUACAAUGGCUGAACCCAAGCCCAUGGAGUCCCCGGGUUCUGGCUGUGGUGUUCCAUCACAGAGAAGCUCACCGCAGGGUCCAGAGAUGGUGUCAGUGAAGCUGGAGGACUGCAGUCAACCACUGGAAGUCAAUGAGAUUGUGAUAGGGGAAGAGAGAGAACUUAAAGUAGAACUUAAAGAAGGAGAAGAGUCAAAGAGGAGAAGAAAGAGAGAGGAGUGAAAGAGGAAGCUGAGAUACAAGUCAAAGAAGAGGAGAACAGAGAAGUGUCUGCUCCAGAUCUAGACGUAGAGGAGCAAGAAGUAGAUAGUAUCACUGACCCAGAAGAGAUUUCCAACCCAGGUUCAGACAGUGAGCCCAGUUCCACAGCAUCAGGAAACCAUAAACAACACAGACAGAGGAACUCAAGACAGAAACAUCACCACUGCAUGGACUGCUUCACUAGUUUCUAUGAGCCAAAGGAGUUGAAGACACACUUGUAGGCCCCAACCCUGCUCAGACUGCAGAGACAGUUUUAUUUGUCCAAUUUACCUUAAAUCACCCCAACAGACUCUAAAAAGAAAGAAAACGUACCCCUGUGGUCAAUGGGGGAAUAGCAAACUAAAGAUGCACCAAGUAACUCAAAGGGAACGAGUUGCUCUUUUUGUGGGAAGAGUUUUCCCUCUUUUACAGACCUUAAAUAGAUACCAGCUGAGCCACACAGGAAAGAAGCCUUUUCACUGCUCACAGUGUGGGAAGGGUUUCUGAUGGUCAUAAAAUAUGAAUACACACUGGUUAAAGUAUCACAGGCCUGACACUGGACUGUUGCUUUAGAAGAAAGUCGACUUCAAACCACAGAAGUAAAACAUGCAAACACAUGUUAUUAUGUAAAUAGCAUUUACCAACCGCAACUGUUAUGUGAAAAUAGAGCAGGGGUUCUUGCGUUAACAUGAACACUACUUGUCAUCAGUACUCAGUAUUUACUUACCCUGUAUUAUCACUUCAAUUCUGGGCAACAUGUAAUAAUUUCUUUAGUAUCCGGUAAAAACUCUGGAUGUCUAACAAAUGAUGGCACAUGGUAAUUCAUAUGUUAGUACCACUGCUGCAAACAAAACAUCCACACACCAAUGCUAACGAUGCUAGUUAACUUUGCCAGCUUGCUCCAUCUAUGACUGGCCUGUCCUGACCCCUUUUUUUUAUAGAGUUUAACUAUUUAAUUAUGUAGCGUUUUGGUAGUGGCAGAAGGGAAGAAGUAUCAAUACUAUAUAAUUUGCAGCUGCCUUAUAUAUUUUUGAUUUAUUGGAAAGCCGUUGAGUUGCUGGCUCCAUACCUACAGUAUCUAACUGACGGCAGCACAAAUAUAACGUCACUUCCGUUUUAGAAACGCGGGCGGAAGUUUACGUUCCUGCUUCUUUUCGUCGCGUGUCCUUACUCAACCAAGCAACUGACGAAAAGGGCUAUUUUUAAAGAUCCACCUACCUUCUAACCUGCCAUGGCUGAACCCAAGUCCAUGGAGUCCCCAGGUUCUAGCUGUGGUGUUCCAUCACAUAGAAGCUCACAGCAGGGUCCAGAGAUGGUGUCAGUGAAGCUGGAGGACUGCAGUCAAACACUGGAACUUAAUGUGAUUGUCAAAGAGGAAGAAGAGGAGACAGAAAUCCAAGAAGAGGUGGAGGAGAGAGCAGUCAAAGAAGAAGA
Oncorhynchus kisutch (coho salmon) is the source of this 1872-nucleotide long non-coding RNA. RefSeq lists it as uncharacterized. The transcript has 5 exons. Lineage: Eukaryota; Metazoa; Chordata; Actinopteri; Salmoniformes; Salmonidae. The record is from RefSeq and is a predicted model, not a curated record.